This 384-nucleotide ribosomal RNA is filed under the name uncultured bacterium. RNAcentral describes it as "bacterial SSU rRNA". It matches the Rfam family "Bacterial small subunit ribosomal RNA", at positions 29 to 414 of the family's 1533-position model. The record is from RNAcentral.
AUUGAACGCUGGCGGCAUGCUUUACACAUGCAAGUCGAACGGUAACGCGGGGGCAACCCUGGCGACGAGUGGCGAACGGGUGAGUAAUACAUCGGAACAUGUCCUGGAGUGGGGGAUAGCUCGGCGAAAGCCGGAUUAAUACCGCAUACGCUCUGAGGAGGAAAGCGGGGGACUCGUAAGGGCCUCGCGCUGCAGGAGUGGCCGAUGUCGGAUUAGCUAGUUGGUGGGGAAAGCCCACCAAGGCGACGAUCCGUAGCUGGUCUGAGAGGAUGAUCAGCCACACUGGGACUGAGACACGGCCCAGACUCCUACGGGAGGCAGCAGUGGGGAAUUUUGGACAAUGGGGGCAACCCUGAUCCAGCCAUGCCGCGUGAGUGAAGAAGG